GAGUUUGAUCGUGGCUCAGAUUGAACGCUGGCGGCAGGCCUAACACAUGCAAGUCGAGCGGUAGAGAGAAGCUUGCUUCUCUUGAGAGCGGCGGACGGGUGAGUAAUGCCUAGGAAUCUGCCUGGUAGUGGGGGAUAACGUUCGGAAACGGACGCUAAUACCGCAUACGUCCUACGGGAGAAAGCAGGGGACCUUCGGGCCUUGCGCUAUCAGAUGAGCCUAGGUCGGAUUAGCUAGUUGGUGAGGUAAUGGCUCACCAAGGCGACGAUCCGUAACUGGUCUGAGAGGAUGAUCAGUCACACUGGAACUGAGACACGGUCCAGACUCCUACGGGAGGCAGCAGUGGGGAAUAUUGGACAAUGGGCGAAAGCCUGAUCCAGCCAUGCCGCGUGUGUGAAGAAGGUCUUCGGGUUGUAAAGCACUUUAAGUUGGGAGGAAGGGCAGUUACCUAAUACGUGAUUGUUUUGACGUUACCGACAGAAUAAGCACCGGCUAACUCUGUGCCAGCCGCCG
RNAcentral lists this ribosomal RNA (513 nucleotides) under bacterium enrichment culture clone ALO1_GLFRUDD03GKM1V. Its description in RNAcentral is "bacterial SSU rRNA". It matches the Rfam family "Bacterial small subunit ribosomal RNA", at positions 9 to 517 of the family's 1533-position model. The record is from RNAcentral.